UGGGGAAUAUUGCACAAUGGGCGCAAGCCUGAUGCAGCCAUGCCGCGUGUGUGAAGAAGGCCUUCGGGUUGUAAAGCACUUUCAGCGGGGAGGAAGGCGUUAAGGUUAAUAACCUUGGCGAUUGACGUUACCCGCAGAAGAAGCACCGGCUAACUCCGUGCCAGCAGCCGCGGUAAUACGGAGGGUGCAAGCGUUAAUCGGAAUUACUGGGCGUAAAGCGCACGCAGGCGGUUUGUUAAGUCAGAUGUGAAAUCCCCGGGCUCAACCUGGGAACUGCAUUCGAAACUGGCAGGCUAGAGUCUUGUAGAGGGGGGUAGAAUUCCAGGUGUAGCGGUGAAAUGCGUAGAGAUCUGGAGGAAUACCGGUGGCGAAGGCGGCCCCCUGGACAAAGACUGACGCUCAGGUGCGAAAGCGUGGGGAGCAAACAGG
This 429-nucleotide ribosomal RNA is filed under the name Chloroflexota bacterium. RNAcentral's name for it is "Chloroflexi bacterium partial 16S ribosomal RNA". It matches the Rfam family "Bacterial small subunit ribosomal RNA", at positions 355 to 776 of the family's 1533-position model. The record is from RNAcentral. Lineage: Bacteria; Bacillati; Chloroflexota.